Molecule: ribosomal RNA, 119 nt
Filed under: Triticum aestivum (bread wheat)
Lineage: Eukaryota; Viridiplantae; Streptophyta; Magnoliopsida; Poales; Poaceae
Source: RNAcentral
GGAUGCGAUCAUACCAGCACUAAAGCACCGGAUCCCAUCAGAACUCCGAAGUUAAGCAUGCUUCGACGAGAGUAGUACUAGGAUGGGUGACCUCCUGGGAAGUCCUCGUGUUGCAUUCC